RNAcentral lists this ribosomal RNA (452 nucleotides) under uncultured bacterium. Its description in RNAcentral is "bacterial SSU rRNA". It matches the Rfam family "Bacterial small subunit ribosomal RNA", at positions 31 to 507 of the family's 1533-position model. The record is from RNAcentral.
AUGGAACGCUGGCGGCGUGUCUAAGGCAUGCAAGUCGAAUGGUCUGGUUUCCAGACCAUGGCAAACGGGAAGAGUAACACAUUGGUAAUUUACCCCAAAGACGAGAAUAAUCCAGAGAAAUCUGGAAUAAUACUCGAUAUUAUGCAUUGUCGCCUGAUAAUGCAUCAAAGCUCCGGCGCUUUGGGAGAAGCCUAUGGUCUAUCAGCUAGUUGGUGAGGUAAUGGCCCACCAAGGCGACGACGGAUAGCGGGUGUGAGAGCAUGACCCGUCUCACUGGGACUGAGACACUGCCCAGACUCCUACGGGAGGCUGCAGUCAAGAAUAUUCCUCAAUGGCCGAAAGGCUGAAGGAGCGACGCCGCGUGUAUGAUGAAGCCCUUCGGGGUGUAAAAUACUUUUAACCGGGACGAAGUACUGACGGUACCGGUUGAAUAAGGGGCUGCUAACCUCGUG